RNAcentral lists this ribosomal RNA (439 nucleotides) under uncultured Clostridium sp. Its description in RNAcentral is "bacterial SSU rRNA". It matches the Rfam family "Bacterial small subunit ribosomal RNA", at positions 355 to 794 of the family's 1533-position model. The record is from RNAcentral. Lineage: Bacteria; Bacillati; Bacillota; Clostridia; Eubacteriales; Clostridiaceae.
UGGGGAAUAUUGGACAAUGGGGGGCAACCCUGAUCCAGCGACGCCGCGUGAGUGAAGAAGUAUUUCGGUAUGUAAAGCUCUAUCGGCAGGGAAGAAAAAGCGCGCAAGCGCCCUUGACAGUACCUGAGUAAGAAGCCCCGGCUAACUACGUGCCAGCAGCCGCGGUAAUACGUAGGGGGCAAGCGUUAUCCGGAUUUACUGGGUGUAAAGGGAGCGUAGACGGCAGGGCAAGUCUGAAGUGAAAGGCGGGGGCUCAACCCCCGGACUGCUUUGGAAACUGUCCGGCUGGAGUGCAGGAGAGGUAAGUGGAAUUCCUAGUGUAGCGGUGAAAUGCGUAGAUAUUAGGAGGAACACCAGUGGCGAAGGCGGCUUACUGGACUGUAACUGACGUUGAGGCUCGAAAGCGUGGGGAGCAAACAGGAUUAGAUACCCUGGUAGU